UCCUACGGGAGGCAGCAGUGGGGAAUAUUGCACAAUGGGCGCAAGCCUGAUGCAGCCAUGCCGCGUGUGUGAAGAAGGCCUUCGGGUUGUAAAGCACUUUCAGCGAGGAGGAAGGUGGUGAACUUAAUACGUUCAUCAAUUGACGUUACUCGCAGAAGAAGCACCGGCUAACUCCGUGCCAGCAGCCGCGGUAAU
Molecule: ribosomal RNA, 195 nt
Filed under: uncultured bacterium
Lineage: Bacteria
Description: partial 16S ribosomal RNA
Rfam family: Bacterial small subunit ribosomal RNA
Source: RNAcentral